UAAGACCUACGGGGCGCAGCAGUGGGGGAUAUUGCACAAUGGGGGGAACCCUGAUGCAGCGACGCCGCGUGGGUGAAGAAGCGCCUCGGCGCGUAAAGCCCUGUCAGCAGGGAAGAAAAUGACGGUACCUGAAGAAGAAGCCCCGGCUAACUACGUGCCAGCAGCCGCGGUAAUACGUAGGGGGCAAGCGUUAUCCGGAGUUACUGGGUGUAAAGGGGGCGCAGGCGGCGAUGAAAGCCAGGAGUGGAAG
Molecule: ribosomal RNA, 250 nt
Filed under: uncultured bacterium
Lineage: Bacteria
Description: partial 16S ribosomal RNA
Rfam family: Bacterial small subunit ribosomal RNA
Source: RNAcentral